CAAACGUCUAACUGUAAGUUGCUCUGGAUAAGAGCGUCUGCUAAAUGACUAAAA
Salmo salar (Atlantic salmon) is the source of this 54-nucleotide non-coding RNA. NCBI's taxonomy places the organism in Eukaryota, Metazoa, Chordata, Actinopteri, Salmoniformes, Salmonidae. The record is from Rfam.